CAGUCGCCGCGGUAAUACGGAGUGUGCAAGCGUUAAUCGGAAUUACUGGGCGUAAAGCGCACGCAGGCGGUCUGUCAAGUCAGAUGUGAAAUCCCCGGGCUUAACCUGGGAACUGCAUUUGAAACUGGCAGGCUAGAGUCUUGUAGAGGGGGGUAGAAUUCCAGGUGUAGCGGUGAAAUGCGUAGAGAUCUGGAGGAAUACCGGUGGCGAAGGCGGCCCCCUGGACAAAGACUGACGCUCAGGUGCGAAAGCGUGGAGAGCAAACAGGAUUAGAUACCCCAGUAGUCCCUGUCUCUUAUAC
This 301-nucleotide ribosomal RNA is filed under the name uncultured bacterium. RNAcentral's name for it is "partial 16S ribosomal RNA". It matches the Rfam family "Bacterial small subunit ribosomal RNA", at positions 509 to 807 of the family's 1533-position model. The record is from RNAcentral.